RNAcentral lists this ribosomal RNA (277 nucleotides) under uncultured bacterium. RNAcentral describes it as "partial 16S ribosomal RNA". It matches the Rfam family "Bacterial small subunit ribosomal RNA", at positions 28 to 312 of the family's 1533-position model. The record is from RNAcentral.
GACAAACGCUGGCGGCGUGCCUAAGACAUGCAAGUCGAACGGGGGGGCUUCGGCUCCCGAGUGGCGGACGGGUGAGGAGCGCGUGGAGAACCUGCCCCGGGGUGGGGAAUACCCGCCAGAAAUGGCGGUUAAGACCGCAUACGACGUUCUCGCGAUGGCGAGGAUGGGAAAGCAGUGAUGUGCCCUGGGAGGGCUCCGCGUCGGAUUAGCUAGUUGGUGGGGUAACGGCCUACCAAGGCGACGAUCCGUAGCUGGUCUGAGAGGACGGCCAGCCACA